AGUGAACGCUGGCGGUAGGCCUAACACAUGCAAGUCGAACGGCAGCACAGUAAGAGCUUGCUCUUACGGGUGGCGAGUGGCGGACGGGUGAGGAAUACAUCGGAAUCUACUUUUUCGUGGGGGAUAACGUAGGGAAACUUACGCUAAUACCGCAUACGACCUACGGGUGAAAGCAGGGGAUCUUCGGACCUUGCGCGAUUGAAUGAGCCGAUGUCGGAUUAGCUAGUUGGCGGGGUAAAGGCCCACCAAGGCGACGAUCCGUAGCUGGUCUGAGAGGAUGAUCAGCCACACUGGAACUGAGACACGGUCCAGACUCCUACGGGAGGCAGCAGUGGGGAAUAUUGGCCAAUGGGCGCAAGCCUGAUCCAGCCAUACCGCGUGGGUGAAGAAGACCUUCGGGUUGUAAAGCCCUUUUGUUGGGAAAGAAAAGCAGCAGGUUAAUACCCCGCUGUUCUGACGGUACCCAAAGAAUAAGCACCGGCUAACUUCGUG
This 492-nucleotide ribosomal RNA is filed under the name uncultured bacterium. Its description in RNAcentral is "partial 16S ribosomal RNA". It matches the Rfam family "Bacterial small subunit ribosomal RNA", at positions 29 to 507 of the family's 1533-position model. The record is from RNAcentral.